CCGAACCCGUGCCAAUCCCGAUCCUUUCUCCCCUUCUUCCUCCUCUGUUCUCUCUUGCGGACGAUCGACGCCGACGGGAGAAGGCUUCAGCUCCGACGAUCUUUUCUCUGCCGGCAUCGACCCUUUAGCUCAUAUCCAGCCGAAGUUUUCUCCUCCUCGCUCUAAUCUCUCUGUUCUCUCACGGGGACGAAUCGACGCCGAGCGUGGAUGAACCGACGCCGACGGUCGCCGGUGUAGAUCUAUUCUCGGAGCUUGCCGGAGAUCAAUCAAGGAGGCACGGAUCAUCUUGAUCUCCUCUUCUCAACCCAUCCCCGAGUUUUCCUCCCAGUUCUGCCGAUCCUUUCUUCCCCGAUCCGUGCACCGGCUUGAAGAUGCCCUAGGGUUUCGAGGUUGUCGCGAAGACAAAGGCGUGCCCUAGCUGUGGAUUUGAUUUGUGAUCUUCAAUCUUAAUCUGAUCAAUGAAUUCUUGUGUGAUUCCUUCUUGAUCCGAAUGAUUUCCAGUGUGGUUCUGUUCUGAUCAGUGAUGUGUGCUAGAUGGUGAUCUAGAAAAGCUUACACUUCUUACUUCUCCAAAUCUAGAAUUAAAUCAGUUGCUUGGCAGGAAAGGCUUUUGGCAGGAGAGAUAAUAAUUAAGUGGUAAAUAGAAGAGAAAGCUCCAAAAUCUCCUCGUCUUUUCUUCCUGUAAUGUAACUCAUGGAAAGUGGAACUAAAUACUUUAAUUUGGUCAUGGAACCAAAUCAAACGACGAACUUACGGAAAUUAAUGAGAGGCGAACAGUGGAAGCUUGUGGAUUUUAUAAUUUAGAUUGAAGAUUCCAUGUCACAAACUUAAGGAUAUCAUUGGCAGUUGUUGGAUCCAAGAGUUUUGCCAUCUUUUGAUUUUGACAUUUCUCUUUGAAUUAUGAACUCGAAGCUUCUGCGUGCGUUAAUGGCGUCAUGUUUCCUAUCAGUUUGGCAGUAGCAGUUCCUCGUGCAAGCGAA
RNA transcript from Zingiber officinale, 980 nucleotides. RefSeq lists it as uncharacterized. The record is from RefSeq and is a predicted model, not a curated record. Lineage: Eukaryota; Viridiplantae; Streptophyta; Magnoliopsida; Zingiberales; Zingiberaceae. The transcript has 3 exons.